Molecule: ribosomal RNA, 1034 nt
Filed under: uncultured archaeon
Lineage: Archaea
Description: bacterial SSU rRNA
Rfam family: Archaeal small subunit ribosomal RNA
Source: RNAcentral
CCCCUUGGGGUGCAGCAGGCGCGAAAACUCUGCAAUAAGCGAAAGCUUGACAGGGCUAUUCUGAGUGAUUUCCGCUAAGGAAGUCUUUUGGCAUCUCUAAAAAUGGUGCAGAAUAAGGGGUGGACAAGCUUGGUGUCAGCCGCCGCGGUAAUACCAGCACCCCGAGUGGUCGGGACGAUUAUUGGGCCUAAAGCAUCCGUAGCCGGUUCUACAAGUCUUCCGUUAAAUCCAUCUGCUUAACAGAUGGGCUGCGGAGGAUACUAUGGAGCUAGGAGGCGGGAGAGGCAAGCGGUACUUAGUGGGUAGGGGUAAAAUCCGUUGAUCCAUUGAAGACCACCAGUGGCGAAGGCGGCUUGCCAGAACGCGCUCGACGGUGAGGGAUGAAAGCUGGGGGAGCAAACCGGAUUAGAUACCCGGGUAGUCCCAGCUGUAAACGAUGCAGACUCGGUGAUGAAUKGGCUUAUUGCUAAUUCAGUGCCGCAGGGAAGCCGUUAAGUUUGCCGCCUGGGGAGUACCGGUCGCAAGACUGAAACUUAAAGGAAUUGGSGGGGGAGCACCACAAGGGGUGAAGCCUGCGGUUCAAUUGGAGUCAACGCCGGAAAUCUUACCGGGGGCGACAGCAGAGUGAGAGGUCAAGCUGAAGACUUUACCAGACAAGCUGAGAGGAGGUGCAUGGCCGUCGCCCAGCUCGUGCCGUGAGGUGUCCUGUUAAGUCAGGUAACGAGCGAGAUCCCUACCUCUAGUUGCUACCAUUGUUCUCAGGAGUAGUGGGGCUAAUUAGAGGGACCGCCGUCGCUGAGACGGAGGAAGGAGGGGGCUACGGCAGGUCAGUAUGCCCCGAAACCCUCGGGCCACACGCGGGCUGCAAUGGUAAGGACAAUGAGUUUCGAUUCCGAAAGGAGGAGGCAAUCUCUAAACCUUACCACAGUUAUGAUUGAGGGCUGAAACUCGCCCUCAUGAAUAUGGAAUCCCUAGUAACCGCGUGUCACUAUCGCGCGGUGAAUACGUCCCUGCUCCUUGCACACACCGCCCGU